CGAGGAAGGGCGUAGAAAGCGACGAAAUGCUUCGGGGAGUUGAAAAUAAGCAUAGAUCCGAGGAUUCCCGAAUAGGUCAACCUUUCGAACUGCUGCUGAAUUCACAGGCAGGCAAGAG
RNAcentral lists this non-coding RNA (118 nucleotides) under Cicer arietinum (chickpea). RNAcentral's name for it is "Bacterial large subunit ribosomal RNA". It matches the Rfam family "Bacterial large subunit ribosomal RNA", at positions 47 to 179 of the family's 2925-position model. The record is from Rfam by way of RNAcentral. Lineage: Eukaryota; Viridiplantae; Streptophyta; Magnoliopsida; Fabales; Fabaceae.